CUGCAGCCCGAGUGGUGGUCGAUUUUAUUGAGCCUAAAGCGUCCGUAGCCGGACUAGUAAACCCUUGGGUAAAUUGGGCAGCUUAACUGUCCAAAUUCCGAGGGGACUGCUAGUCUUGGGACCGGGAGAGGUCAGAGGUACUCAAGGGGUAGGGGCUAAAUCCUGCAAUCCUUUGGGGACCACCAGUGGCGAAGGCGUCUGACUAGAACGGAUCCGACGGUAAGGGACGAAACCCUGGGGCGCGAACCGGAUUAGAUACCCGAGUAGUCC
RNAcentral lists this ribosomal RNA (270 nucleotides) under uncultured archaeon. Its description in RNAcentral is "partial 16S ribosomal RNA". It matches the Rfam family "Archaeal small subunit ribosomal RNA", at positions 477 to 747 of the family's 1478-position model. The record is from RNAcentral.